UACGGGGGGAGCAAGCGUUGUUCGGAUUUACUGGGCGUAAAGGGCGCGUAGGCGGUCGUGACAAGUCACUUGUGAAAUCUCCGGGCUUAACUCGGAACGGUCAAGUGAUACUGUCGGACUAGAGUACAGAAGGGGCAACUGGAAUUCUCGGUGUAGCGGUGAAAUGCGCAGAUAUCAGGAGGAACACCGAUGGCGAAGGCAGGUCUCUGGGCCGAUACUGACGCUGAGGAGCGAAAGCGUGGGGAGCGAACAGG
Molecule: ribosomal RNA, 254 nt
Filed under: uncultured bacterium
Lineage: Bacteria
Description: partial 16S ribosomal RNA
Rfam family: Bacterial small subunit ribosomal RNA
Source: RNAcentral